GAUGAACGCUGGCGGCGUGCCUAAUACAUGCAAGUCGAGCGAACAGACGAGGAGCUUGCUCCUUCGACGUUAGCGGCGGACGGGUGAGUAACACGUAGGUAACCUACCUAUAAGACUGGGAUAACUUCGGGAAACCGGAGCUAAUACCGGAUAAUAUUUCGAACCGCAUGGUUCGAUAGUGAAAGAUGGCUUUGCUAUCACUUAUAGAUGGACCUGCGCCGUAUUAGCUAGUUGGUAAGGUAACGGCUUACCAAGGCAACGAUACGUAGCCGACCUGAGAGGGUGAUCGGCCACACUGGAACCGAGACACGGUCCAGACUCCUACGGGAGGCAGCAGUAGGGAAUCUUCCGCAAUGGGCGAAAGCCUGACGGAGCAACGCCGCGUGAGUGAUGAAGGUCUUCGGAUCGUAAAACUCUGUUAUUAGGGAAGAACAAACGUGUAAGUAACUGUGCACGUCUUGACGGUACCUAAUCAGAAAGCCACGGCUAACUACGUG
RNAcentral lists this ribosomal RNA (497 nucleotides) under uncultured bacterium. Its description in RNAcentral is "partial 16S ribosomal RNA". It matches the Rfam family "Bacterial small subunit ribosomal RNA", at positions 28 to 507 of the family's 1533-position model. The record is from RNAcentral.